UCGCGCAUUCUCGUCCGCUUUUCCUCCCCGGCCCGCGCGCCAGUAUCGGCUGCUCUGCCUCGUGCCUCCAUAAAUACGACCCCGCCCUCCGCCGUUCCCACUCGCCCCUCCCCACACCUCCGCUCCCGGCCUGUGCCGCCGUCGCCACCGCUCGCUCGCCCGCCUGCCUGCCUGCCUGGGCCCGCAGCACCGACUCUGACAGCGCCCGUCCUGCUUCCUGUACCGGCAGGCGAGGGAGAGGACUCAGGGAGUGUGAUGGCGGCAAUGCCGGCGCCGCUUCUGCCUCUGCUUCUGCUGGUGGUGGCCGCGGCGAUGACGCUCUCCCCCGCCGCCGCCCGCAUUCCCGGCGUGUACGUCGGCGGCGGCGGCGGCUGGCAGAGCGCGCACGCCACGUUCUACGGCGGCAGCGACGCUUCGGGCACCAUGGGCGGCGCCUGCGGGUACGGCAACCUGUACAGCCAGGGGUACGGCGUGAACAACGCGGCGCUGAGCACGGCGCUGUUCGACGAGGGGCUCCGCUGCGGCGCGUGCUUCGAGAUCAGGUGCGAGGAGCAGCCCGGGUGGCGGUGGUGCCGGCCAGGGAGGCCCUCCAUCCUGGUCACGGCCACCAACUUCUGCCCGCCAAACUACGCGCUCCCCUCCGACGACGGCGGCUGGUGCAACCCGCCCCGCCCGCACUUCGACCUCGCCAUGCCCAUGUUCCUCCACAUCGCCGAGUACCGCGCCGGCAUCGUCCCCGUCUCCUACCGCCGGGUGCCGUGCCGCAAGUCCGGCGGGGUGCGGUUCACCAUCAACGGCUUCCGGUACUUCAACCUGGUGCUGAUCACGAACGUGGCCGGCGCGGGGGACGUGGUGCGCGCGAGCGUCAAGGCGGCCAGCACCGGGUGGCUGCCCAUGUCCAGGAACUGGGGCCAGAACUGGCAGUCCAACGCCAUCCUCGUCGGCCAGGCGCUCUCCUUCCGCGUCACCGCCAGCGACCGCCGCACCUCCACCUCCUGGAACGCCGCCCCGAGCACCUGGCAGUUCGGCCAGACCUUCGAGGGCAAGAACUUCAGGGUCUGAUGCAUGGGAUGGGAUGCGAUGGGAUGGGACUUGGGAGAAGAAGCCAAAACUCUUUUCUUUCUUUCUUUCUUUCUUCUUAUACGUAAUUAUUACUACUCACUCCUGCUACCGUACUACUGCUACUGGAGUACUAAGCGCGUGUUACUGUGUUAGAGGGUGGUGGGUGUUGUCAAUGCCUGUUUUAAGGUCACGCCUUCCGCCCGCCUUAAUCCCAGGUCCAGGUCCUCUCUGAAAAAAUGGAGUCUUUUCUUCUGAACAAGAUGUGUGGAUGGGAUUCUCUAGAGUUUGUCAGGGUAUAUUGCCGUCUCUUCGGUCCCUAGCACUUCUCUAUGCAUCAAGUUUGUGCCUUUGGCUUGGGGGUGACUGGUGGGUUUCUGUGUGAGCUGCUCAAGUGGCUGCCGAGCUGCGGCUCCAAUUUGGUGGCAGCGCGGUGAGCGUAGCCCGCAGCUGCUCGUCAUCUUCUUUCGUCCCGUCCCGUGUCUCUCUGUCUGUCUCCAUGACAGGAACACACAUUUGUUAUCUAUCUCGUUCUACAUCAUGGUUCAUUG
This 1610-nucleotide unclassified non-coding RNA is filed under the name Zea mays. RNAcentral describes it as "misc RNA Zm00001eb062740". The record is from RNAcentral. Lineage: Eukaryota; Viridiplantae; Streptophyta; Magnoliopsida; Poales; Poaceae.